Gracilinanus agilis (Agile Gracile Mouse Opossum) is the source of this 524-nucleotide non-coding RNA. Lineage: Eukaryota; Metazoa; Chordata; Mammalia; Didelphimorphia; Didelphidae. The record is from the annotation of a RefSeq genome assembly.
AGCCGCCUCCGGAUUUCUGCUCCCUUCUGGCGCAAUCCCAAGAACAGCUUUCGUUGCCAAGUUCGGUUUUAUGGCAUCGCAGAGAAUGAGACCUGGACAAGUACCCUGAGCAAACCUGUCACUCAGAAUGUCAGUGACCAGAUCUGGGGAAAGGCAGAUUGCGGGAUCACCUCUGAGUCCUAUCAGGAUAGUAUCCAGUCUGCCACCUUUUUGUAUGAAAUCCUCCUGGGGAAGGCUAUGCUAUAUGGUCUGCUGGUCAGUAUCCUGGUGUUGAGAACCAUGGCCAAGAAAAACUAUUCUUGAAGCCAGCUGUGGACCAGAGAGCAGAGUUCUAAGAGCAAAGGACCUUCAUUCUUUCAUCACCCCAGCUUGGCUCCUCCUUUAUCCAUUUCCAGCCUGUGUUCCAGAAUAAUUGUUCUUCCUUCUCUCCUCAUCUGUAUCCCUCAUAAAAUUCCUCAAAGAGAACUAUGUAAGCCAGAAGGGGCAAAGGUGGUGGAUUAAUCUGAAAGCAAUAAAAAUAUCUU